UCAGCAGCCGCGGUAAUACAGAGGGUGCGAGCGUUGUUCGGAAUUAUUGGGCGUAAAGCGCGUGUAGGCGGCUUAGUAAGUUGGGUGUGAAAGCCCUCGGCUUAACCGAGGAAGUGCGCCCAAAACUGCUUGGCUUGAGUACCGGAGAGGGUGGCGGAAUUCCCGGUGUAGAGGUGAAAUUCGUAGAUAUCGGGAGGAACACCAGCGGCGAAGGCGGCCACCUGGACGGAUACUGACGCUGAGACGCGAAAGCGUGGGGAGCAAACAGGAUUAGAUACCCUGGUAGUCCACGCUGUAAACGAUGAGCGCUAGGUGUUGCGGGUGUUGACCCCUGCAGUGCCGCAGCUAACGCAUUAAGCGCUCCGCCUGGGAAGUACGGCCGCAAGGCUAAAACUUAAAGGAAUUGGCGGGGGA
This 414-nucleotide ribosomal RNA is filed under the name uncultured bacterium. RNAcentral's name for it is "bacterial SSU rRNA". It matches the Rfam family "Bacterial small subunit ribosomal RNA", at positions 508 to 920 of the family's 1533-position model. The record is from RNAcentral.